GUCCCUUCGGGACAUCUGAAAAAAUUGAAAAGAUACAGAGAAGUCAGAAGAUUAGCUUUGUUUCUGUGCAAGAAUAACACGUACAAAUUGAGAAAUAAUCCAAUUUUAA
This 109-nucleotide small nuclear RNA is filed under the name Capsicum annuum. Lineage: Eukaryota; Viridiplantae; Streptophyta; Magnoliopsida; Solanales; Solanaceae. The record is from RNAcentral.